This is a long non-coding RNA of Brassica napus (rape), 3332 nucleotides long. RefSeq lists it as uncharacterized. The record is from RefSeq and is a predicted model, not a curated record. NCBI's taxonomy places the organism in Eukaryota, Viridiplantae, Streptophyta, Magnoliopsida, Brassicales, Brassicaceae. The transcript is spliced from 8 exons.
GAGAAUCAUGGAAUUGGCAGAAGAAUAUUUUGUCUUCAUCCCUGCUCUCAAAACUUAAAACAUUUUCUCUGGAAAUGUGCAAGAGAUUGCUUACCCACAUGCGAUAACCUUCUUCGCAGGGGCAUCAAUAGAAACACCAACUGCCCGCGUUGUGGGGACCAAGAAACCCUCACCCACUUGCUCUUCCUCUGCCCAUUUGCUAUCAACGUUUGAGAACUCACGCCUUGGACAUCCACUUUCGAUUCAACUCAGAGUGUCUCUUUCAGAGAUGAACUCCAGACCUCCGCUCGCCGAGUCACUCUACCACCAGUGGGUAUCACUUCCAACAUCUUUCCCUGGAUUUGCUGGGGCCUCUAGUUGAGCAGAAACCAACUGAUCUUUGAAUCCAAAACCCUGACACAACAACAGAUUGUCAAUAGAGCUAUAGUAUCUUGCAAGAAAUGGGAAAGCGUUCAAUCGAUCAUACCAAAGCCAAUCAGCACGAAAGCUACCCCUCGCAUGCUCUCUGACCCAACAGCAGAUACCAUUAUUUACCAUAAAUACGCAGCGUGGAACAAAGAACACAAAGUCGCUGGCCUCACCUGGAUCUGCUCCACCUCUGAUUCAACCGAGGUAUCUCGAGGCUCCUCCUUUCAAAGCGCGGUGGCUUCUCUUCUCAUGGCGGAGGCACUUGCGAUAAGAUAAGCUCUCUGGCACGCUUCGGGUCAAUCCUACAAACGCACCUGGCUACGUUCAGACUUUCAAGGGCUUAUCACAGCCAUCAACUCGAAUCUCCCAUCGAUAGAACUCCACGGUAUUUUAUCGGAUGUCGAUUCGAUUGCCUCCUCUGAUUUCAAUUAUGUUUCUUUUUCUUUUGUUUCAAGAAACCAAAAUGGUCUUAUAGACUCUUUGGCAAAGGCUUGUCUAUGUAUGAACCCCUCUGGUUUGGGCCUUUAAAGCUCUUUCCAUUUUUAUUAAGUGAAUCUAUUUCUGUUGCUAAAAAAAAAAAUGAGGUAGAUAGGAUAUUGAAGAGAAUUCGUUUGGAUCCUGCUGCAUGUUUACACCGCUAGUACCUGUCUCUCACCUUUGUAAUUAGAAUAGUUGACUUCUCUCAACUUGUCGGGUUCUUCCAACUCUUGAAGCAUAUAAAAUGGGUGUGUGGGAAACUUUUUAAAUAUUUUGUUGUUGUUCUAAUUUAUUGUUUUCUUGUUAUUCGGUUUCUUUUACACUAAAAUAUUUAUAAUAUUUUAGAAAGGUCGGUUUUAAAAUUUUGGGGACCCGUAAGCAACUUAGUAAAAAAUUUAAAAAAUUUAUUAUAUGUAUAAAUUUGGAAGUAUUUUUAUUAAUUUGGAAUAUAUGUCAUGUGUUUAAAAAAAAAUGGACUUAUUUCACUAUAACUUUUCAAAAAGUUUUGACUAAUGUUUCUUUUGGUUUUGUCUAGAAACUCGUUUGGAUUAAACAUUUACCGUAAUAUAAUCAUGAUACUCAAGGUUUAUCAACACAUCAAAUGUUACUUUGUAUAAGACCAUCUUCAGUGUAUUUUAAUAUAUUUUUAUUUAAAAAUAGAAAAUUUCUAUAAUAUAAAUAAAAUUCAAUAGAAUAUAUUUUCCCAUAAUAGUAUUCUUCAAAUAUAAAGUAAAAAUAGAGAUUACUAUAUUUUCUCCUAAAUAUAGAAAAAGUAACAAUUUCUGUUUUGGAAAAUAUAACAAUUAAAGGAAAAUUAACUCUAAAGUUGAUUACAAAUCUUUAUAAAUAAAGUUCACAUAUCUGCCUUCUCAUGCGUCCACGUCGUGUCAUCCUCUCUUUCAAAGAUAAUUUUUUUCGGUUUGCCCAAAUCUUAAUCCUUCAUUUCGUCUAGAUUUUCCUCGCCUACUGCGAAACUUGAUAGUCACCGGUUACAAAUCAAAGGUUCACCCACUUCAUCCACUAAUUAAUCAUUUACUCUCCCCCUUUAGUUUAGAAAUCGAUUCAGUUUUUGAGAUCCCGAAUAAUCUGAGAGGAUUUUUAAUUACGAUGGCAACUAAUCUGAGGCGGAGGAUUAUCCAGAGAUGGAAGGAAAGUGGGUAGGGAGGACGCCGGAGGGAGUGGGACUGGUGGUGAAGCUAGCUGGCGGCGAUUAAGUAGCAGACAGGGAUGAUUGCGAAGUAAACUGUCAAAGAAUAAUACUGAAUAGAAUUUGCAGCGUCGCCACCUGCUAAAAAGAUAUGUGGAACUUUAAGUCAAUGACAGAUGAUGAUCCAAUGAAGUUUGGGUUUGGCUCACCAGGAAUCAAUGAUAAGAAGAAGAAGAAGAAGAAGAAGAAGAAGAAGAAGGCCUUCAAGCUAUAUAACAUUUGACAACCCAUCCCUAAUCAAUCAGGUUCCAUCUCUUUCUCUCCCUCUCUCUGUUAUCCAUCGUUCCUCACUAUUUCUAAUCAGUUUUUAUGAUGCCUUCGUUUGAGCUAAUUGUAUAUGUGUGGUUACGGAGUUGCCGGAACUGGGUAAAGAUUAUUCUGCUCAUAUGCUUAAUUAGUACACUCACAUGAGCUUCCCUUCCCUUUUUCACUAUCUUAUCUUGCUAUGAAAUUGAUAUGAGAUGAUGAGCUUUCUGGAAUGGAAGUGUGGGGGUCUUCUUUUGAGAUGCCAAAACUGGAUGUUUUGAAAUGUUUCUCUAAUUGAAUUGCUAUAAUUUGAGUUGUUAGAUGUGACCACAAGGAGGCAAAUUCAGUAGACAGAUCGUCAGAGAAAAACAGAAGUGGUCUUCUUCUGCUUGAAGGUAAAACGUAAGCCAAUCUGAAGAAAAGUACAAGAAGAGCAAGGGUUGGCGGUUGCAAUUUUGCUCCUACUUUCCAUCGACAAUAUAUGAGCUCAUGUUGUGUCUCAGUUCUGACUCAUGUCUAACUCCCCCACCACAAAUUCAUACACAACAAUAGACAAGAAAUAGCUCAAAUUUUAUCUGAUCACCGGCCAUACAGGCUCUGCAAUAGUUCCAAGUAUAUGAAGACAACUUCAAACUCUCCUAACAGAUCUCAAAAAUGCAAUCGUGCAUUCCGAACUGAGCCUGAGCAUCUUAGAGAGCAUGCCAAAGAAGGGACAAAUGCAAUUUUUUAUGAACCUGGUGUGGAGAAGACCCUAAGGAGAAACACUUCUUCGAACCCCUUUCGAUAUACCCGAAACCACACGGAAAUCACUCACUCACCCAUCUGCUUCAUGGUGAUUCUUGCAUAGAUGAGAAAUGAUUAGCACAAGAUGUUUGUUGGUUGUUUAAUAUUCAUGCGGGAUAUUGUCUCCUUCACUAUUUGGUAAAGCUAGAGGAAAUUGUGCAACAAAUAUACUAUGGUUAAAUUAAAUAUAUGAUGGGGCUGAUUAUUUGAA